UUCAGCGGCGGACGGGUGAGUAAUGCCUAGGAAUCUGCCUGGUAGUGGGGGACAACGUUUCGAAAGGAACGCUAAUACCGCAUACGUCCUACGGGAGAAAGCAGGGGACCUUCGGGCCUUGCGCUAUCAGAUGAGCCUAGGUCGGAUUAGCUAGUUGGUGGGGUAAUGGCUCACCAAGGCGACGAUCCGUAACUGGUCUGAGAGGAUGAUCAGUCACACUGGAACUGAGACACGGUCCAGACUCCUACGGGAGGCAGCAGUGGGGAAUAUUGGACAAUGGGCGAAAGCCUGAUCCAGCCAUGCCGCGUGUGUGAAGAAGGUCUUCGGAUUGUAAAGCACUUUAAGUUGGGAGGAAGGGCAUUAACCUAAUACGUUAGUGUUUUGACGUUACCGACAGAAUAAGCACCGGCUAACUCUGUGCCAGCAGCCGCGGUAAUACAGAGGGUGCAAGCGUUAAUCGGAAUUACUGGGCGUAAAGCGCGCGUAGGUGGUUUGUUAAGUUGGAUGUGAAAGCCCCGGGCUCAACCUGGGAACUGCAUCCAAAACUGGCAAGCUAGAGUACGGUAGAGGGUGGUGGAAUUUCCUGUGUAGCGGUGAAAUGCGUAGAUAUAGGAAGGAACACCAGUGGCGAAGGCGACCACCUGGACUGAUACUGACACUGAGGUGCG
Molecule: ribosomal RNA, 668 nt
Filed under: Pseudomonas sp.
Lineage: Bacteria; Pseudomonadati; Pseudomonadota; Gammaproteobacteria; Pseudomonadales; Pseudomonadaceae
Description: bacterial SSU rRNA
Rfam family: Bacterial small subunit ribosomal RNA
Source: RNAcentral